UCCCAAAGCUUGAGAGCCAGAUAGCCUGCU
RNAcentral lists this non-coding RNA (30 nucleotides) under Mus musculus (house mouse). The record is from RNAcentral. Lineage: Eukaryota; Metazoa; Chordata; Mammalia; Rodentia; Muridae.